RNAcentral lists this ribosomal RNA (506 nucleotides) under uncultured bacterium. RNAcentral describes it as "bacterial SSU rRNA". It matches the Rfam family "Bacterial small subunit ribosomal RNA", at positions 17 to 518 of the family's 1533-position model. The record is from RNAcentral.
UCCUGGCUCAGGAUGAACGCUAGCUACAGGCUUAACACAUGCAAGUCGAGGGCAGCAUGGGGUAGCAAUACUCAGAUGGCGACCGGCGCACGGGUGAGUAACACGUAUCCAACCUGCCGCUUACUCGGGGAUAGCCUUUCGAAAGAAAGAUUAAUACCCGAUGGUAUAAAGAGUUCGCAUGUUCUCUUUAUUAAAGAAUUUCGGUAAGCGAUGGGGAUGCGUUCCAUUAGAUUGUUGGCGGGGUAACGGCCCACCAAGUCUACGAUGGAUAGGGGUUCUGAGAGGAAGGUCCCCCACAUUGGAACUGAGACACGGUCCAAACUCCUACGGGAGGCAGCAGUGAGGAAUAUUGGUCAAUGGACGAGAGUCUGAACCAGCCAAGUAGCGUGAAGGAUGACUGCCCUAUGGGUUGUAAACUUCUUUUAUAAGGGAAUAAAGUGAGGGACGUGUCCCUUUUUGUAUGUACCUUAUGAAUAAGGAUCGGCUAACUCCGUGCCAGCAGCCGC